UUGUUUUGUGGUAGGACAAAGAUAUGCUGGAACCAUAGCAACAAAAUGAGAGAAUCGGACAAAGUAAUAACUAGCUGGCUAAGAUUCCUUUAUAAAGCUGUGACCUUCAGAUACGUCGAAGGACGAGGGCUUUCCUAGACCCAUCGCUGCUUCACUAUACUCUGACUGCAAAAGUAUCUUUGCAAAGACUUGCGGCAAGACUGCUAGUAUUGUGCACGCUGUUUACAGCUAGAGAAUACAUGCUUUUAAGACUAGCAGAUGAAAAUAUUGAAAAGAUGUAUUACGUGGAUGGCACGUCAUUGUAAACAUUUCACACGAUCUCUUGUGCUUUAAUCAUUUCACAUGCCAGGUGCCAUGGAGGCAAAAGACUGUUUGAUUAGAGCUCUGGACGUUCCAGACUUUCGAGUUCGAUUCCAGCGCCAUCUGGAAGGAGUCUGUACAUCCUCCUCGUGGAAUACGUGGGUUUCCUCAGGUGCUGCCACGGUCCAAAGACGCACUUGUGAUGAGACAGCCUACAGAGCAGAGGUUGACACCCUGACACAGUGGUGCCAGGAUAACAACCUCUCCCUCAAUGUCCAAAAGACGAAAGAGCUUAUUGUGGAUCACAGGAGGAGUGGAGACAGGCUUGGCCCAAUCAACAUCAAUAGGUCUGCAGUUGAGAGGGAAACAAAACAUAGCUGCUGGAAAUCUGAAAUGAAAACAAAUUAUUUGAAAAUUUUGCAUGCCAGGGCGCAUUUCUGGAAAGUGCAAAAGCUUUCGUUAAGAAUUCUGGCUAUAAAAAAAACUAAUAAAAAAAAGAGAAUUCUGGCAAGGUGUCUUGGUUCUGAAUUGUUAAUUCAGUUUCAUUUUGUACAGAGGCUGCCCAACAUGCUGUGUGUUUCCAGCCUUCCCUGUUUUAAGUGUGGAUUAAUGAUCUGGCUAAGUAGCUGCUAGCCCAGUUACUGAAGUGCUACACUACUGAAGCGAUGCCACCUUUGGUCAUCAUUGAAAGUUCAGAGUCAAACCUGCAAUAUAUUUAAGAACCUCUAAUUCAUUAAAAGGAAAAGUUUUCGUGGGAAAUUGGCCCCGGUAUUGGGAAAGGCGGGAGCUGUACUAACGGGAUAAGCUCCAGCUGAACCAUGAUCUGGAUGCUAGCGAAUCAUAUAACUAGGGCUAUGUAUAGGGCUUUAAACUAAAUAAUGGGGGGGGGGGGGUUCAACAGAUUGGAGAAAUAAGAAUAAAGUAAAAAUUGGAAGUGUGGAUAAAGAUAAAGCAAAAGAUAAGCAAGAGAAAAGUAAGAGUGGAGGGGCAAAAGUGUAAAAGAUUAUAAGAUUUUAAAAGCAGAGUGAGUGUAAGGGCAGUUUAUUUGAAUGCCCACAGUAUUCGAAACAAGGUCAGUGAACUUGUGGCACAAAUCAGUACAAAGGGGUAUGAUUUAGUGGCCAUUACAGAGACGUGGUUGCAGGGUCGAGAGGAUUGGGAAUUAAAUAUCCAAGGAUAUCAGGUAAUUUGGAAGGAUAGGCAUGUUAGGAAGGGAGUUAGGGUAGCGCUCUUAAUUAAGGAUGAGGUCAGGUUGAUAGUGAGAGAUGAUUUAAAAUCUAAGGAGCAGAAAGUUGAAUCCAUAUGGGUAGGGAGUAGGAAUAGUAAAGUGAAAAAACACUGGUGGGAGUUGCCUAUCGACUAUCUAAUAACAUUAUAGUGGCACACGCAAAAGACAGAAAUAUCUGAGACAUGUAAGAAUGGAACAGCAGUCAUCACGAGGGAAUUUAACUUGCACAUAGAUUAAGUGAAUCAAGUUGGUCGAGGCAGUCUUGAGGAAGACUACAUAGAAUGCAUCCAUGAUGGCUUUCCUGAACACGUUUCUGAACCUACAAGGAAAUGUGCUUUUGGAUCUGGUCCUGUGCAAUGAAACAGGUAAAAUUAGUUAUCUUGUGGUUAGGGAUCCUCUUGGAAAGAGUAAUCACAGUAUGACUUAGUUUCUCAUACAAAUGGAGGGUGCAAUAGUUUGAUCCAAAACAAGUGUAUAAUGCCUAAAUAAGGAGACUACAAUGGGAUGAGGGAGGAUUUGGCUAGUGUAGACUGGGAAAACAGGUUAUAUGGUGGGAUGGUUGAGGAAUAGUGGUAGACUUUCAAAGAGAUUUUUCACAGUGUUCAACAAAAUAUAUAUUCUAAUUAAAAGCAAGGACAAUAACGGAGGGGAGAGGCAGCCUUGGAUAAUGAAGGAAAUAAAAGAAGGCAUUGUGGUAAACUAUGUGUAUACCUGUCUGGGCACGCCCCACUGCUGACUGCUCCUGUGGCUCCUCCCACAAACCCCUGUUCAAAGGCGAUUGGAGGCACUGCUCCUCCCUCAGUCUUCAAGAUGUUGUGGUCACUUUUUCUGCUAAUUAAAACCUAUUGUUUGCCUCCCGUCUCUGAGCAUUAUUAUUGAUGGUGCAUCAGGCAUCAAACUUUAAAACUUGUGCAUAUAAAGUCGCCAAGAGUAGUGAGAAACUGGAAGAUAGGGAAAGCUUUAAAAAGCAACAAAGAACCACUAAGCGAGCAAUAAAGAAAGGGAAGCUAGAUUAUGAAAAUAAACUAGUACAAAAUAUAAAAACAGACAGUACAAGUUUUUAUAACUAUAUAAAGUGGAAAAGGGUGGCCAAAGUGAACUUAUGUCCCUUGGAGGAUGAGAAGGGUGGAUUGAUUUGGGUAAUAAGGAAAUGGCAGAGGCUUUGCAUGACUAUUUUGUGUCUGUCUUCAUGGUGGAGGACGCAUCUAACAUCAAAGAGAGAUGUUAUGGAUACGAUGGGAGGAAAGGCCCUUGAUACAAUAGCUAUCACUAAAGAGGUAGUGCUGAGCAGACUUGUGGGCCUGAAGAUAGAUAAGUCCCCUGGUCCUGAUAGAAUGUAUCCCAGGGUACUGAAAGAAAUGGCAGAAGUUACAAUAGAGGCUUUGGUGAUAAUUUACCAAAAUUCUCUUGCCUCUGGGCAAGUACUAGCAGACUGGAAGACUUUGAAUGUCAUGCCACUGUUCAAAAAAGGUGUAGGUGAAAGGCAGAUACCUAUAGGUCAGUUAGUUUGACAACAGUAGUUGGGAAAAUGUUUGAAGCUAUCAUUAAAGAAAUAGUGAGGCAUCUGGAAAGAAAUAGAUACAUCAUGGAUUCAGCAAAGGCAGGUCCUGUUUGACAAAGUUACUGGAGUUCUUUGAAAAUCUAAUGAGAACAGAUCGAAGUUAUUUACUUGGGGUUUCCAGAAGGCAUUCAAUAAGGUGCCGCAUGAAAGACUUAUCUGUAAGAUAAGGAUGCAUAGAGUUGGGGGAGAUGUAUUAGCAUGGAUAGAGGAUUGGUUAACUAAUAGAAAGCAGAGAGUUGGGAUCCAUGAGUGUUACUCUGGCUGGCAAUCAGUGGUGAGUAGUGUGCCACAGGCGUUGGUGCUGGGUCUUCACUGUUCACAACAUACAUUAACAAUCUGGAAGAGGGGACCGACUGUAGUGUAUCUAAGUUUGCUGAUGAUACUAAAUUGCGUGGAAAAGCAAUUUGUGCAGAAGAUACAGAGAGUCUGCAGAGAGAUAUCAAUAGGUUAACUGAGUGGUCAACGGUCUGGUGGAGUACAAUGAUUGUAAAUGCAAGGUCAUCCACCUUGGAAGGAGAAAGAGCAGAUUAUUAUUUAAAUGGUAAAAAAAAUUGUAGCAUGCUUCUGUGCAGAAGGACUUGGGAGUGCACAAGGUUGGUUCGCAGGUGCAGCAGACUAUCAAGAAGGGAAAUCAGAUGUUCACCUUCAUUGCUAGAGGGAUUGAAUUUAAGAGCAAGGAGGCUAUGCUGCAACUGUACAGGCUACUGGUGAGGCCACUCCUGGAGUACUACAUGCAAUUCUGGUCUCCUUAUUUGAGGAAGGAUAUACUGGCUUUGGAGGCGGUGCAGAGGAGAUUCAUCUGGUUGAAUCCAGAGACGAGGGGGUUAGAAUUGAGAGGAGAUCUUAUGGAAACAUGUAAAAUUAUGAAAGGGAUAGAUAAGAUAGAGGCGGCAAAUGUGGUAGGUGAGAUUAGAACUAGGGGGCAUAGCCUCAAGAUUCAGGGGAGUAGAUUUAGGACAGAGAUGAGGAGGAAUUGCUUUUCCCAAACAGUGGUGAAUUGUAGAAUCUUCUGCCCAAUGAAGCAGUGGAAGCUACCUCAUUAAAUAUAUUUAAGACAAGGUUAGAUAGAUUUUUGCAUAGUAGGAGAAUUAAACUUUAUGGGGAAAAAGGCAGGUAGGUGGAGAUGAGCCCAUGGCCAGAUCAGCCAUGAUCUUAUUGAAAAGUGGAGCAGGCUUGAUGGCCAGAUGGCCUACUCCUGCUCCUAUUUCUUAUGUUCUUAUGUUUCUUGGCACCAUACCACUGGCCUUGUUUCCUUCUUCCUGUACUCCUGUUUCUUUGUUAUUUGAGAUCUGGCCUACAAUGAGGAUGUCAUCUGCAAGGAGUUACAGCAGAAUCUGGCCACACAGCUAUGAGUGUAUAGUGAUUAAAACAAGGAUCUGAGCCUACUUGAGGCAGCAAUGCCAAGGAUUAUCAUGGCAGAGGUAUUACUGUCUAUUCUUGCAGUCGAUGGUAAUCUUUGUUUAGCUAUAUUUCUUCAGUAUUUCAAUGUCUAAUGCCUAUUUAGACAUUCUAAAGAUGUCUGAAUAAGCAUAGUGUUUGAGAGUGAAUCGAUGAUCUGUUGCUGCAUCUCACUUGGUUUGUCGUCUGUUUCAAGAGUCAGCUUGUCAGCUGCAGGUUUAUUGAUGAUUAAAUAUCUGAAUGUGGAAAUUGGGUAAUUUUAUUGUGGGUGACAGAUUAAGAAUUUCACAAGUUCAGGUGUAUCUGGUCACAGAAAUAGUUUUAAACAACAGCAAGCAGAGUACCUGGACCAAUCAUUCUCUGCAUGCUAAGGGAUGCACUGAAGCUUAGUACUAAUACCUGUGGAUACACAAUAUGACAUGAUUAUAUUUUAUAUAAUUAUGUUGGGUAUAGAUAGAGUGAAUGCAAGCAGGCUUUUUCCACUGAGACUAGGGGAGAAAAAACCAGAGGCAUUAGGUUAAGGGUGAAAGGGGAAAAGUUUAAAGGGAAUAUUAGGGAGGGCUUCUUCAUGCAGAGAGUGGUGGGAGUGUGGAAUGAGCUGCCAGAUGAAGUGGUGAAUGCAGGCUCAGUUUUGACAUUUAAGAAAAACUUGGACAGGUAUAUGGAUGAGAGGGGUUUGGAGGGAUAUGGCCCAGGUGCAGGUCAGUGGGACUAGGCAGAAAAAUGGCUCAGCACAGCCAAGGAGGGCCAAAAGGCCUGUUUCUGUGCUGUAAUGUUCUAUGGUUCUAUGACCACAGUUCCAGUAUACACACCUGAUUAACUGCUCUCUGAAAUGGUUGAACAAUCCACUUGAUUACAUUAAAACAGUCGAGUUCCUUUGUUGUGUGGACUGCAAUUAUUCAAGAAAAUGACUAGCACGAGAGGGCAGUUUUAAAGUGCUUGGAAGUAGGUACAGAGAAGAUGUCAGGAGUAAGUUUUUUUUAAGAGAGUAGUAUGCGUGGAAUGGGCUGCCAGCAACAGUGGUGGAGGUGGAUACAAUAGGAUCUUUUAAGAGACUCCUGGAUAGGUAGAUGGAGCUUAGAAAAAUAGAGGGCUAUGGGUAACCCUAGGUAAUUUCUAAGGUAAGGACAUGUUCGGCACAGCUUUGUGGGCCGAAGGGCCUGUAUUGUGCUGUAGGUUUUCUGUUUCUAUGUAAAAUUCUUUCUGUUUGACUAAGCAUAACAUCACAGUCACAUUUUAAGAAUUAACAUCCCAAGUGCAUGCCAGUGAAUUCUGUAAAUUUUAUGGCUGUUUAAUAUUGUUAACAGACUUUUAUUUCUAGAUUUACAAAUAGGAUUAAUUAAUUUUAAAGUGGGAUUUGAAUGUAUAUUUUCAAAUCCUGAAGUCUUUUACAAACAGUGAAAGUGUAAUUAAAGGAACAGAGGGUGCAGACAGAAAUUUCAUCUUGAUAAAUUAUUAUUCUGACAUAAUCACUAUAUAUCCAGUUAGUGAACUAUCAAAUUUGGGCGUAUUUCAAACCAGAAAGAUGAUCUUCCUCCAAUAAAGUUGAGGCCAAUUGUGAUUUUUUUUUUGCACUGAACAUCUCUCUUUGGGACAUCAAAUCUUAAGCACAAGAGCUUCAACAGAUGCUGGAAAUCCAGAGUAGCACACAGAAAACGCUGGAGGAACUCAAGGAAUAAAGAAUCAACGUUUUGGGCCAAGACCCUUUAUCAGGACUGGAAAGGAAGUGCGAAGAAAUGCCACUGUUUUUUUGCACUGGACCUCUCUUUCAGGGCUAAGUUUUGAUUCAACAUGUUGAUCUCUGCAAAAGCAAAUAGCACCAUUAUAUUACCUUUGACAUAGUAAAACAUCUCAAGGAGCCAAAAUAAAACAGACAGCUAAAGAUAGAUAAUAAAAACCUCCUUAAAAGCAGGAGCAAGGUGCAGUGGACAUACCCAAGUUUAGCUCCUGAAAGGAUGGAGGUGCAUCCACCACUUCUGUGAAGUAUGGUAAAUGGACAAGAGGUCAGAAAAGUGAAAAGGAAGAGAUACUAAAUAGAAGGAAUGGCAUGACAGAAUUUGAAAAUACUUUUUUUUGGUAUCACUUUGUUGCUGAAUCAGAAGCUUUAUGAACAGGGAUUAUGAGUGUUCGUUUGUAAGUUAUUAUGUUUUGAUUGGGAUUAUGUUUUGAUAGUGGGGAGGAUGUGAUCUCAAAGCAUAAACACUACCAAGACUGGUUGGACUGAAUAGAUACGUAUAUUCCUUGUACUGUAUAAGCUUAGGUCAGUUAAGUAAAUGAGACUGAACUAUUAGAGCAGCUGGUUAGUGAGUGGUAUUUACAUUUUUCACUGGAAAACACUAUUUAUGGCAGAGCCCUAAAACAAUGCUGCUGAUAGUUCCUAGUGUUUAUUUAACUAAUGUAGAUUUUAGAAAUGAAGUCUGACAACUGAGCGACAAGGUUAAGAGUGAAGGUGGUCAUUUCUAGUAUACAUAUAGGUCCUGAUGUGUUUGUGCAUUGUAUUGCUAUUGGUCAGCCCCAAGGGUAAGAUAUUGUCCAAGUUGUCAAACCAGGGCAAAUAAGGGAAACAGUGGAAUUUUAAACUUAAUAAAUUUGUCAUAUUUCUAUUCUUCAAUGACUACUGCAUGUCACAAUAAAACUUUAUAUGUUGUAGAUAUUUGUAAUUAUUAUUGGCAUGAAACUUCUCAGAGGAAAUAGGAACACCAAAAUUUCAUCUAGGUAACCCUCCAUUAUAAAGGGAUAGAACUAGCUUCUGCCUUAUUACCUGUUUCCUACCCACUAUCCAAAUCCUCCAAGUGAAACAUUCACAACUCCCAUAUUUACUAUUCAUGUCUCCACCAUACUGGAGAAACCAAAUUCACAUUAGAUUAGUUCACAUUAUUUAAAAAUUAUUUAAAGAAUUAUUUAAAAACAAAUUCACACUACAUUACCA
Molecule: long non-coding RNA, 7416 nt
Organism: Hypanus sabinus (Atlantic stingray)
Lineage: Eukaryota; Metazoa; Chordata; Chondrichthyes; Myliobatiformes; Dasyatidae
Exons: 4
Source: RefSeq, a predicted model, not a curated record